Molecule: ribosomal RNA, 600 nt
Filed under: Cimex lectularius (bed bug)
Lineage: Eukaryota; Metazoa; Arthropoda; Insecta; Hemiptera; Cimicidae
Description: partial large subunit ribosomal RNA
Rfam family: Eukaryotic large subunit ribosomal RNA
Source: RNAcentral
GCGCGAGUCACUGGGUGGAAAACCUAAAGGCGAAAUGAAAGUGAAGGGGGCCUCUGGCCCCCGAGGGGAAGAUGGGCGUCCGUCCUUCGCAGGCGGCGCCCCGCACUCCCGGGGCGUCUCUUUCUCGUUACGAGUGGAGGCGCACCUGUAGCGCACACGCUGAUACCCGAAAGAUGGUGAACUAUGCCUGGCCAGGACGAAGCCAGGGGAAACCCUGGUGGAGGUCCGCAGCGAUUCUGACGUGCAAAUCGAUCGUCGGAGCUGGGUAUAGGGGCGAAAGACCAAUCGAACCAUCUAGUAGCUGGUUCCCUCUGAAGUUUCCCUCAGGAUAGCUUGCGCUCGGUUGAGACGAGUCUCAUCCGGUAGAGCGAAUGAUUAGAGGCCUUGGGGUCGAAACGACCUCAACCUAUUCUCAAACUCCAAAUAGAUGAGAUCCCCGGCUUGCUUGAAAGUGAAGCCGCGGGAAUCGGAUCAGAGUGCAAAGUGGGCCAAUUUUGGUAAGCAGAACUGGCGCUGUGGGAUGAACCAAACGCAGAGUUAAGGCGCCUGAAUCGACGCUCAUGUGAAACCAUGAAAGGCGUUGGUUGCUUAAGACAGCAG